Homarus americanus (American lobster) is the source of this 688-nucleotide long non-coding RNA. RefSeq lists it as uncharacterized. The transcript has 4 exons. The record is from RefSeq and is a predicted model, not a curated record. Lineage: Eukaryota; Metazoa; Arthropoda; Malacostraca; Decapoda; Nephropidae.
UCUUUUGUUUUUGGGUACCAUCAGCUAGUGUUGGUGCGGGCGGCCUGUGAACUGAUCAGUCACCCACUGGUUUGCUAAGGAGGAGAGCUCUAUAUGGUCUCUGGUCCAAAGGCGUGUCUCUAUACCCACGGGGGGCAACAUAGUGCUAUGUGGUCCACCAAAUUAUCCGAGAAGCUAAAACACUAGCGUCGGUACAAGCUUCCGGAAAUGAGAGGCGAGGCGUGUGUUGGUGACCAGUAAACCACUAAGAUGAAUUUUAAGACACCUUGAUGUUCCUCUGAAGAUUAUUGAUUGCAACUCUAAUGAACCCUCCAACCCAACCAUAAGCAUUUGGGGUCUAUUAAGAGGCGAGGCCCUUUAAGACGCCUUAGGACGACAACAACACCAUACAUCUCUCAGUGUAACUAGAGAGAACAGACGAGUUAAAUUUGACGACAGUAAUUACGGAAAAAUUAAGUCAUCUUAGGGGACCUUGGAUAGGAUUCUUAAAGGUUCAGACGAUUGUUAUUCCAAGUACGAUGGACCCAAGCGGCAAGACUUGCUGAGCAGGUGGACACUAUGGGCACUUUCUCCACCAGUAUAAGCAACAUGUAACACGACACUAUACAGAGCAGCUGAGGACCACUUGGUGUUAAUGAGUGACCCACAGACGUCGCACCGGUCACCCUCCCCGGAACUGCAUAGCGAU